Molecule: ribosomal RNA, 427 nt
Filed under: uncultured bacterium
Lineage: Bacteria
Description: bacterial SSU rRNA
Rfam family: Bacterial small subunit ribosomal RNA
Source: RNAcentral
UGGUGAAUUUUGGACAAUGGGCGAAAGCCUGAUCCAGCAAUGCCGCGUGCAGGAAGAAGGCCUUCGGGUUGUAAACUGCUCUUGUACGGAACGAAACGGUCUGCCCUAAUACGGCGGGCUAAUGACGGUACCGUAAGAAUAAGCACCGGCUAACUACGUGCCAGCAGCCGCGGUAAUACGUAGGGUGCAAGCGUUAAUCGGAAUUACUGGGCGUAAAGCGUGCGCAGGCGGUUAUGCAAGACAGAUGUGAAAUCCCCGGGCUCAACCUGGGAACUGCAUUUGUGACUGCAUAGCUGGAGGGCGGCAGAGGGGGAUGGAAUUCCGCGUGUAGCAGUGUAGUGCGUAGGUAUGCGGAGGAACACCGAUGGGGAAGGCAGUCCCCUGGGCCUGCACUGACUCUCAUGCACGAAAGCUGGUGGCGAAAACA